RNAcentral lists this long non-coding RNA (1878 nucleotides) under Homo sapiens (human). RNAcentral describes it as "HSALNT0238208". Lineage: Eukaryota; Metazoa; Chordata; Mammalia; Primates; Hominidae. The record is from RNAcentral.
CUUAGAGCUUAUUAAAGUUCCUUUAUGUAUUAUCUCAUGUGAUUCUCCCCAAGAGGGAAGAAUGACCAUUAUGUACCAUGUAACCUCAUGUUACAGGUAGGUAACUAAUACUGAGAGAAGUAAAAUAAUUUAUUGAAGGUUGCAUGUAGUAGAGAUAGUAAUGCUCACUAAACAUUCCAUUUGUUCUACAUUUCUCAGCUUCCUUAAUUAAUUUGAGGCCAUGUGGUUAACAAUGGCCAAUGAAAUGUGAGUGAAAGUGAAUAGAGAUGCUAGGUGCCUGAAGAGCAUAGGACAGUUUUAGACAACAAAGAAUUGUCCUGUAUCUCAUGACUUCUUUGAACCUCGCUGAAUAAUUAUGUACAUAGAAAUCCUGUUUAUAAUGAGAAAGGAAGAGCAACCCCUACAGCUGUCAGCUGGAAGCUGAUUUAGCCCUAAUGGCUAGGCUAUUAUAUUCUGUUGAAUAUAAACAAUGUUAUAUAACACCAACAUCUGACAAGUCCACUCUGAGUGUGGUGGAGGAAGACAAAAAUUAAGACACUCCAUAGGCAUGUUGGAACUUAGCAAGAUUCUGUGUAAAUCAUAGAGCGACCAAACAUUCUUGUCUCUUGGCUUAUAUGUGUGAUAUUUGCUCCAUUACCCAUUAGAUCACUCUGUUCCUUCUUCCUCCUAGAUUAAAAAUUUCAAUAUUUACACUCAUUUAGAAUUUCCCUUGCUUUCUGAAAGCACUUAAUCCAGAGUAAAACCAUGAUUCAUGGAGCCCUUCUUGAAAUCACCCAACACAACCCCAAAUCCUUUAAAAAGCCCUUCCCAGCACCCUCAUACUGAGGCACCCCAUGGUUCCCCAUGGUGUGUGAUCUCUCUUGUGUAAAAGUGUGCUGAUAAACCCAACUCGAUUCAACUGCAGAUCUGUUCCUCAUGAUCUCUGACGGGUGGACAUUGACAAUAAUUUUUUGAGCUUAGAUUAUAACUCCAUUUUAUAUUUUUGUUGUAGAUCUGCAGUACUUGAUUUGCUCAAAAAUGCAAUUACCAGUUAAGUGAGGGAAGGUCGUAGUCUUUGUUCAGUACGUAACCAAGAGUUUUCUAUCAUUUUAAAAACUGUCACUAGUGGCAACAUUGCUCAUGGCAUUUGAGUUCCAGGUCAAAACUACUGCAGUAGUCUGCAUUUGUAGUGGGCACAUUAAUGGUAAUUAUAUGUACAUGUGCAAGCAUCUAAUGAUUGUGUCAUCAGGAGUUUUGGCCAUCUCCAGUUUGAAUUACACAUUACCGUAAGUUGCUUCCUUUUAUUUGUCUGUUACAUUACAGUUAGAUAUUAAAGAUACCUUUAAUCAUGAUAGAUGAUUUAAAAAUAUGCCUCACGUAAGUUAUAUUGUUUGUGUUUUAGAAUAAUAAAACAUGUUUAAAAAUAUUUCUGAUAAAAAGUGGCUGUGGGCCUGAAGGGGUGAAAACCAUUAGUCUACAGUCAUUGAUGAACAGUCUGUCCCUUAGGCCCUCUUAGUUGGAGCUGAAGAGUGUAUAGAUACGAACUUGAACUCUGGUGUUCUAAUAUUCUGUGUUGCUUACUGAAGGUAGAUGCCAUGUGCUUUGGAAACCAGCAUGGACAUUCUAUGAAAUUUGAGAAGAGAAGCAGUUUUCUCAUUUAGAUGGUCUAUCAUGGGUGGUAAUAUCUAGUGUUCUAAGUGAAUGUAGUAGAUGCUGCUUAUAUUAAUUUAAGAGAAAUCCUAUAUAUCCCAUUAAAAAAAAUCGUAGAGAAACAUUUCCAGAAUGGUGGAGUAUGGAUCUUUGAAUAUCUGAUUCUGCAUAAAAUCAAUGAGGACACUGGCAGGAAUGAUCAAAAUAAACUUUUUUAAACUCUGGAAAUUAACCAAACGAUUGCAACAA